GACGAACGCUGGCGGCGUGCCUAAUACAUGCAAGUAGAACGCUGAAGAGAGGAGCUUGCUCUUCUUGGAUGAGUUGCGAACGGGUGAGUAACGCGUAGGUAACCUGCCUUGUAGCGGGGGAUAACUAUUGGAAACGAUAGCUAAUACCGCAUAACAAUGGAUGACACAUGUCAUUUAUUUGAAAGGGGCAAUUGUUCCACUACAAUAUGGACCUGCGUUGUAUUAGCUAGUAGGUGAGGUAAUGGCUCACCUAGGCGACGAUACAUAGCCGACCUGAGAGGGUGAUCGGCCACACUGGGACUGAGACACGGCCCAGACUCCUACGGGAGGCAGCAGUAGGGAAUCUUCGGCAAUGGGGGGAAACCUGACCGAGCAACGCCGCGGGAGUGAAGAAGGGUUUCGGAUCGGAAAGCUCUGUUGUAAGUCAAGAACGGGUGUGAGAGUGGAAAGUUCACACUGUGACGGUAGCUUACCAGAAAGGGACGGCUAACUACGUG
Molecule: ribosomal RNA, 497 nt
Filed under: uncultured bacterium
Lineage: Bacteria
Description: partial 16S ribosomal RNA
Rfam family: Bacterial small subunit ribosomal RNA
Source: RNAcentral